GACGUCGAUAUUCGACGUCAUAAACACGAACAACUUUGGUGUUUAUGACGUCGAUAUUCGACGUCAUAAACACGAUCAACUUUGGUGUUUAUGACGUCGAUAUUCGACGUCAUAAACACGAUAAACUUAGAUGUUUAUGACGUCGAUAUUCGACGUCAUAAACACGAUCAACUUUGGUGUUUAUGACGUCGAUAUUCGACGUCAUAAACACGAUCAAUUUUGGUGUUUAUGACGUCGAUAUUCGACGUC
This 249-nucleotide microRNA precursor is filed under the name Paramuricea clavata. Lineage: Eukaryota; Metazoa; Cnidaria; Anthozoa; Malacalcyonacea; Plexauridae. The record is from RNAcentral.